CCUACGGGGGGCUGCAGUCGAGAAUAAUUCACAAUGGGGGAAACCCUGAUGGUGCAACGCCGCGUGGAGGAUGAAGGUCUUCGGAUUGUAAACUCCUGUCAUCUGGGAGUAAGACCUGACGGUGAAUAGCCGGCAGGGUUGAUAGUACCAGAAGAGGAAGGGACGGCUAACUUCGUGCCAGCAGCCGCGGUAAUACGAAGGUCCCAAGCGUUGUUCGGAAUCACUGGGCGUAAAGGGAGCGUAGGCGGCGUGGUAAGUCAGAUGUGAAAUCCCGG
Molecule: ribosomal RNA, 275 nt
Filed under: uncultured bacterium
Lineage: Bacteria
Description: partial 16S ribosomal RNA
Rfam family: Bacterial small subunit ribosomal RNA
Source: RNAcentral